UUGAAUAAACUUGGUAUAAGCUGCUGCUGGUCCUUUGGGGCAUGUGCACGCCUAUUCCGAUUUUAUAACCACCUGUGCACUUUGUGUAGAUCUGAAUUACUCUCGAAGUAACUCGGUUUAAAAGAAUUGCAGUGUACAAAUGCCUGCUUUUCUUUAUAUUCAGAUCUAUGUUUUAUUAAACCUUAUAUAAAGUAUUUGAAUGUGAUGGUUUAGGCACCAUUUGCCUAUAAUAUAUAAA
This 238-nucleotide unclassified non-coding RNA is filed under the name uncultured Agaricales. RNAcentral's name for it is "sequence contains ITS1". The record is from RNAcentral. Lineage: Eukaryota; Fungi; Basidiomycota; Agaricomycetes; Agaricales.